This 284-nucleotide ribosomal RNA is filed under the name Monacha claustralis. Its description in RNAcentral is "partial 16S ribosomal RNA". Lineage: Eukaryota; Metazoa; Mollusca; Gastropoda; Stylommatophora; Hygromiidae. The record is from RNAcentral.
UCAGUUGGCUUAUAAUUGAAGUCUAGUAUGAAUGGGACCACGGGAAUAUUCUGUCUUUAAUAUAUAAAGAAAUUACUAAUUAAGUGAAAAUUCUUAAAAGUUAGAAAAUAGACGAGAAGACCCUAGAAAUUUUUUAUUUAGAUUUUGUUGGGGCGACAGGGUAACAAAAAACUUACCUAUAAAUAAUAGGAAAUUUUUUAGUGGUGUAAUUAAAUUACUCUAGGGAUAACAGCAUAAUAUUUUAAAGGUUGUGACCUCGAUGUUGGACUAGGAAUAUCAUUACU